RNAcentral lists this ribosomal RNA (1347 nucleotides) under metagenome. RNAcentral describes it as "bacterial LSU rRNA". It matches the Rfam family "Bacterial large subunit ribosomal RNA", at positions 1564 to 2925 of the family's 2925-position model. The record is from RNAcentral.
UGAGCACGAGCUGCUACGGCAGCGAAGUGGGUGACGUCAAGCUUCCAAGAAAAGCCCUACACCCGUUAAGGCAUGAUGGCCUGUACCCGAAACCGACACAGGUAGGAUGGUAGAGAAUACCGAGGGGCGCGAGGUAGCUCUCUCUAAGGAACUCGGCAAAAUGGCCCCGUAACUUCGGGAGAAGGGGUGCCACCGCAAGGUGGUCGCAGUGAAGAGCCCAGGCGACUGUUUACCAAAAACACAGGUCUCCGCUAAGUCGCAAGACGAUGUAUGGGGGCUGACGCCUGCCCAGUGCCGGAAGGUUAAGGAAGCUGGUCAGCGUAAGCGAAGCUAGCGACUGAAGCCCCGGUGAACGGCGGCCGUAACGAUAACGGUCCUAAGGUAGCGAAAUUCCUUGUCGGGUAAGUUCCGACCCGCACGAAAGGCGUAACGAUCUGGGCGCUGUCUCGGAGAGAGGCUCGGCGAAAUAGAAUUGUCUGUGAAGAUGCGGACUACGUGCACCCGGACAGAAAGACCCUAUGAAGCUUUACUGUAGCUUGGUAUUGUGCCCGGGCUCUGAAUGCGCAGGAUAGGUGGGAGGCUUUGAUCAACAGCUUGCGGGUUGUUGUGAGCCAACGGUGAGAUACCACUCUUUCAGAGCUAGGGUUCUAACGGUCACCCGUUAUCCGGGGACCGGACAGUAUCAGGUGGGCAGUUUGACUGGGGCGGUCGCCUCCUAAAAGGUAACGGGGGCGCGCAAAGGUUUGCUCAGGCUGGUUGGAAAUCAGCCGAUGAGAGUAAAAGCAGAAGCAAGCUUGACUGUGAGACCUACAAGUCGAACAGGGACGAAAGUCGGCUUUAGUGAUCCGACGGUUCUGAGUGGAAGGGCCGUCGCUCAACGGAUAAAAGUUACUCUAGGAUAACAGGCUGAUCUCCCCCAAGAGUUCACAUCGACGGGGAGGUUUGGCACCUCGAUGUCGGCUCAUCGCAACCUGGGGCUGAAGUCGGUCCCAAGGGUUGGGCUGUUCGCCCAUUAAAGCGGUACGCGAGCUGGGUUCAGAACGUCGUGAGACAGUUCGGUCCAUAUCCGGUGCAUGCGCAGGAAUAUUGAGAGGAGUUCUCCCUAGUACGAGAGGACCGGGAGGAACGCACCUCUGGUGUACCAGUUAUCGUGCCAACGGUAAACGCUGGGUAGCCAUGUGCGGAGAGGAUAACCGCUGAAAGCAUCUAAGUGGGAAGCCCACCUCAAGAUGAGUAUUCCCAUGGCAUAAGCCAGUAAGGUCACGGGAAGAACACCCGUUGAUAGGCUCUACGUGGAAGCGCAGUAAUGCGUGAAGCGGAGGAGUACUAAUAGACCGAGGGCUUGAC